Molecule: long non-coding RNA, 310 nt
Filed under: Brachypodium distachyon (stiff brome)
Lineage: Eukaryota; Viridiplantae; Streptophyta; Magnoliopsida; Poales; Poaceae
Description: long non-coding RNA (BDIS_LNC004811)
Source: RNAcentral
CGUAGCAGGGAGAUACUGAAGUUGUAUAUGAACUGAACAAGGAGAAUCCAGCUAGCUUCCUUGCUCCAACAAAAAUGACAGCAUAGCUCUUUACAAAUACACAGAGAAAAGAACCUUCUCUUUUUCCCAGCGAUGCUUGACGGGCAGCAUUGCGUGCUCUCGAAUCGACUCCCUGAACCUUGAAAUGGAACUCUGUUGAUUAUUAUAGAGGACAAGAGCAGCCGCAAGCAAUAAUUCAUCGUCAUCAUUGGAGGAAUCGUCGGACGACAUAUUAAUGAACUCGUUGAAGAAAAACAACUCAAGAUCGCCC